This 513-nucleotide ribosomal RNA is filed under the name Glomus sp. Glo24. RNAcentral's name for it is "SSU rRNA". It matches the Rfam family "Eukaryotic small subunit ribosomal RNA", at positions 569 to 1078 of the family's 1831-position model. Lineage: Eukaryota; Fungi; Glomeromycota; Glomeromycetes; Glomerales; Glomeraceae. The record is from RNAcentral.
AGCAGCCGCGGUAAUUCCAGCUCCAAUAGCGUAUAUUAAAGUUGUUGCAGUUAAAAAGCUCGUAGUUGAAUUUCGGGGUCAGUAGGUUGGUCAUGCCACUGGUAUGUACUGGUCUCACUGAUUCCUCCUUCCUGAUGAGCCGUAAUGCCAUUAAUUUGGUGUUGCGAGGAAUCUGGACUGUUACUUUGAAAAAAUUAGAGUGUUUAAAGCAGGCUAACGCUUGAAUACAUUAGCAUGGAAUAAUGAAAUAGGACGUUCGAUCUUAUUUUGUUGGUUUCUAAGAUUGACGUAAUGAUUAAUAGGGAUAGUUGGGGGCAUUAUUAUUCAAUUGUCAGAGGUGAAAUUCUUGGAUUUAUUGAAGACUAACUACUGCGAAAGGCCAUUUGCCAAGGAUGUUUUUUCAUUAAUCAAGAACGAAAGUUAGGGGGAUCGAAGACGAUCAGAUACCGUCGUAGUCUUAACCAUAAACUAUGCCGACUAGGGAUCGGAUGAUGUUAAUUUUUUAAUGACUCA